AGGCUCUAGACCAAGAUAGAACAGCCCUUCAGAAAGUGAAGAAGUCUGUAAAAGCAAUAUAUAAUUCUGGUCAAGAUCAUGUACAAAAUGAAGAAAACUAUGCACAAGUUCUUGAUAAGUUUGGGAGUAAUUUUUUAAGUCGAGACAACCCCGACCUUGGCACCGCGUUUGUCAAGUUUUCUACUCUUACAAAGGAACUGUCCACACUGCUGAAAAAUCUGCUCCAGGGUCUGAGCCACAAUGUGAUCUUCACCUUGGAUUCUUUGUUAAAAGGAGACCUAAAGGGAGUCAAAGGAGAUCUCAAGAAGCCAUUUGACAAAGCCUGGAAAGAUUAUGAGACAAAGUUUACAAAAAUUGAGAAAGAGAAAAGAGAGCACGCAAAACAACAUGGGAUGAUCCGCACAGAGAUAACAGGAGCUGAGAUUGCAGAAGAAAUGGAGAAGGAAAGGCGCCUCUUUCAGCUCCAAAUGUGUGAAUAUCUCAUUAAAGUUAAUGAAAUCAAGACCAAAAAGGGUGUGGAUCUGCUGCAGAAUCUUAUAAAGUAUUACCAUGCACAGUGCAAGUGAGUAGAAUAUUGCAAGCAUUGUUGUUAGCCCAAUUAGUGCCCCCUGUACUUCAUUAUUUGUCUUAAUCCUCUUCAUAUCUUUUCUUCAUCUCGUGACUAAAUAAAGUGAUGACCUUUUUCAGCUAACUGGAUAAGAAA
RNAcentral lists this small RNA (703 nucleotides) under Pongo abelii (Sumatran orangutan). RNAcentral's name for it is "retained intron". The record is from RNAcentral. Lineage: Eukaryota; Metazoa; Chordata; Mammalia; Primates; Hominidae.